Molecule: ribosomal RNA, 120 nt
Filed under: Pteropus alecto (black flying fox)
Lineage: Eukaryota; Metazoa; Chordata; Mammalia; Chiroptera; Pteropodidae
Source: RNAcentral
GUCUACGGCCAUGCUACCCUGUACAAGCCUGAUCCCAUCUGAUCUCAAAAGCUAAGCAGGUUCGGGCCUGGUUAGUUACUUGGAUGGGAGACCACCUAGGAAGACCAGGUGCUGUAGGCA